AGAGUUUGAUCUUGAGUGGGAUGAACGCUGGCGGCGUGCCUAACACAUGCAAUUUGAGCGAUUCUCUUCGGAGAAGAGCGGCGGACGGGUGAGUAACGCGUGGGUAACCUGCCCUGUACACACGGAUAACAUACCGAAAGGUAUGCUAAUACGGGAUAAUAUAUAAGAGUCGCAUGACUUUUAUAUCAAAGAUUUUUCGGUACAGGAUGGACCCGCGUCUGAUUAGCUUGUUGGCGGGGUAACGGCCCACCAAGGCGACGAUCAGUAGCCGACCUGAGAGGGUGAUCGGCCACAGUGGAACUGAGACACGGUCCAAACUCCUACGGGAGGCAGCAGUGGGGAAUAUUGCACAAUGGGCGCAAGCCUGAUGCAGCAACGCCGCGUGAGCGAUGAAGGCCUUCGGGUCGUAAAGCUCUGUCCUCAAGGAAGAUAAUGACGGUACUUGAGGAGGAAGCCCCGGCUAACUACGUGCCAGCAGCCGCGGUAAUACGUAGGGGGCUAGCGUUAUCCGGAUUUACUGGGCGUAAAGGGUGCGUAGGCGGUCUUUCAAGUCAGGAGUUAAAGGCUACGGCUCAACCGUAGUAAGCUCCUGAUACUGUCUGACUUGAGUGCAGGAGAGGAAAGCGGAAUUCCCAGUGUAGCGGUGAAAUGCGUAGAUAUUGGGAGGAACACCAGUAGCGAAGGCGGCUUUCUGGACUGUAACUGACGCUGAGGCACGAAAGCGUGGGGAGCAAACAGGAUUAGAUACCCUGGUAGUCCACGCUGUAAACGAUGAGUACUAGGUGUCGGAGGUUACCCCCUUCGGUGCCGCAGCUAACGCCUUUAAUUACUCCG
This 834-nucleotide ribosomal RNA is filed under the name uncultured bacterium. RNAcentral's name for it is "bacterial SSU rRNA". It matches the Rfam family "Bacterial small subunit ribosomal RNA", at positions 1 to 871 of the family's 1533-position model. The record is from RNAcentral.